CAUCGCCUACGGGGGGCAGCAGUGGGGAAUAUUGCACAAUGGGGGGAACCCUGAUGCAGCAAUGCCGCGUGGGUGAAGGAGCACUCCGGUGCGUAAAGCCCUGUCAGCAGGGAAGAAAAUGACGGUACCUGACUAAGAAGCCCCGGCUAACUACGUGCCAGCAGCCGCGGUAAUACGUAGGGGGCAAGCGUUAUCCGGAUUUACUGGGUGUAAAGGGAGCGUAGACGGCAGCGCAAGUCCGAAGUGAAAGCCCGGGGCCCAACCCCGGGACUGCUUUGGAAACUGUGAAGCUGGAGUGCGGGAGG
RNAcentral lists this ribosomal RNA (305 nucleotides) under uncultured bacterium. Its description in RNAcentral is "bacterial SSU rRNA". It matches the Rfam family "Bacterial small subunit ribosomal RNA", at positions 333 to 655 of the family's 1533-position model. The record is from RNAcentral.